AAUCUCUCUGAAAAGGCUCUUGUUUCAAGUACUCUUGUUUUUUCACUGACCUGGUAAGGUGGUAGUAGUGGGGAGCCCCCAAGGUGUUCUCACUUCCGAUGCCAAGUGCCAGUCCAUGCAUGCAUGUGGGUGGGCAUGACCCUCUCUGGGGACAGUGCCAGGUGGGGAGUUUGAUUAGGGAGGUACACCUGUCACACAGUAAUGCAGGUGUCCUAAGACAAAUUCAGGGAGGACAGAAACCCCCAUGGCAAAAGAGCAAAAGCUUGAUCUUGAUUUCAGUAUGAAUACCGACCAUGAAAACAAGGUCCUUUUAGGCCAGGGUGAGUCCAGACAAAG
RNAcentral lists this non-coding RNA (336 nucleotides) under Neotoma lepida (desert woodrat). RNAcentral describes it as "Eukaryotic large subunit ribosomal RNA". It matches the Rfam family "Eukaryotic large subunit ribosomal RNA", at positions 2464 to 2802 of the family's 3401-position model. The record is from Rfam by way of RNAcentral. Lineage: Eukaryota; Metazoa; Chordata; Mammalia; Rodentia; Cricetidae.